Molecule: transfer RNA, 74 nt
Filed under: Candidatus Portnoybacteria bacterium CG_4_10_14_0_2_um_filter_39_11
Lineage: Bacteria; Candidatus Portnoyibacteriota
Also listed under: 1 other name
Description: tRNA-Arg
Rfam family: tRNA
About the family: Transfer RNA (tRNA) molecules are approximately 80 nucleotides in length.
Source: RNAcentral
GUCCCUAUAGCUCAAUUGGAUAGAGCGCAGGCCUCCGAAGCCUGAGACUCCCUGUUCGAGCCAGGGUAGGGACA